ACAUCUCCUGACCCAGCAGACUUUUUUCCUAAUGUGUCUUUAUGUGCUCUAGCUCUGUAUAUUUGGCCCAGUGAAGCAACUGUGUCUACAAGCAUGUGGAGCAGACUGAGACAGACUGGACAUAGUUCUAUCCAUGAAGGAACAAGGGCUGCAUCCCAUAUGGCAUACUGAAAGAAAACUGGGCUGUGGAGAUGUCUUGGCAUCGUGUUUGGUGUUGGGCAUUAUAAGCUGAAAGCAAAAGAGCAAAUUGAUUCCUGCAUUCCUCCCAAAUGCUUGCUGCAUUGUGGGAACAUACGACACACCACAGAGUUCAGGGCUCUGCUGUAUUUACG
Columba livia (rock pigeon) is the source of this 332-nucleotide long non-coding RNA. RefSeq lists it as uncharacterized. The record is from RefSeq and is a predicted model, not a curated record. The transcript has 3 exons. Lineage: Eukaryota; Metazoa; Chordata; Aves; Columbiformes; Columbidae.